Molecule: ribosomal RNA, 1551 nt
Filed under: Staphylococcus aureus subsp. aureus NCTC 8325
Lineage: Bacteria; Bacillati; Bacillota; Bacilli; Caryophanales; Staphylococcaceae
Description: 16S ribosomal RNA from Staphylococcus aureus subsp. aureus NCTC 8325 (PDB 7NHL, chain a)
Rfam family: Bacterial small subunit ribosomal RNA
Source: RNAcentral
GGAGAGUUUGAUCCUGGCUCAGGAUGAACGCUGGCGGCGUGCCUAAUACAUGCAAGUCGAGCGAACGGACGAGAAGCUUGCUUCUCUGAUGUUAGCGGCGGACGGGUGAGUAACACGUGGAUAACCUACCUAUAAGACUGGGAUAACUUCGGGAAACCGUAGCUAAUACCGGAUAAUAUUUUGAACCGCAUGGUUCAAAAGUGAAAGACGGUCUUGCUGUCACUUAUAGAUGGAUCCGCGCUGCAUUAGCUAGUUGGUAAGGUAACGGCUUACCAAGGCAACGAUGCAUAGCCGACCUGAGAGGGUGAUCGGCCACACUGGAACUGAGACACGGUCCAGACUCCUACGGGAGGCAGCAGUAGGGAAUCUUCCGCAAUGGGCGAAAGCCUGACGGAGCAACGCCGCGUGAGUGAUGAAGGUCUUCGGAUCGUAAAACUCUGUUAUUAGGGAAGAACAUAUGUGUAAGUAACUGUGCACAUCUUGACGGUACCUAAUCAGAAAGCCACGGCUAACUACGUGCCAGCAGCCGCGGUAAUACGUAGGUGGCAAGCGUUAUCCGGAAUUAUUGGGCGUAAAGCGCGCGUAGGCGGUUUUUUAAGUCUGAUGUGAAAGCCCACGGCUCAACCGUGGAGGGUCAUUGGAAACUGGAAAACUUGAGUGCAGAAGAGGAAAGUGGAAUUCCAUGUGUAGCGGUGAAAUGCGCAGAGAUAUGGAGGAACACCAGUGGCGAAGGCGACUUUCUGGUCUGUAACUGACGCUGAUGUGCGAAAGCGUGGGGAUCAAACAGGAUUAGAUACCCUGGUAGUCCACGCCGUAAACGAUGAGUGCUAAGUGUUAGGGGGUUUCCCGCCCCUUAGUGCUGCAGCUAACGCAUUAAGCACUCCGCCUGGGGAGUACGACCGCAAGGUUGAAACUCAAAGGAAUUGACGGGGACCCGCACAAGCGGUGGAGCAUGUGGUUUAAUUCGAAGCAACGCGAAGAACCUUACCAAAUCUUGACAUCCUUUGACAACUCUAGAGAUAGAGCCUUCCCCUUCGGGGGACAAAGUGACAGGUGGUGCAUGGUUGUCGUCAGCUCGUGUCGUGAGAUGUUGGGUUAAGUCCCGCAACGAGCGCAACCCUUAAGCUUAGUUGCCAUCAUUAAGUUGGGCACUCUAAGUUGACUGCCGGUGACAAACCGGAGGAAGGUGGGGAUGACGUCAAAUCAUCAUGCCCCUUAUGAUUUGGGCUACACACGUGCUACAAUGGACAAUACAAAGGGCAGCGAAACCGCGAGGUCAAGCAAAUCCCAUAAAGUUGUUCUCAGUUCGGAUUGUAGUCUGCAACUCGACUACAUGAAGCUGGAAUCGCUAGUAAUCGUAGAUCAGCAUGCUACGGUGAAUACGUUCCCGGGUCUUGUACACACCGCCCGUCACACCACGAGAGUUUGUAACACCCGAAGCCGGUGGAGUAACCUUUUAGGAGCUAGCCGUCGAAGGUGGGACAAAUGAUUGGGGUGAAGUCGUAACAAGGUAGCCGUAUCGGAAGGUGCGGCUGGAUCACCUCCUUUCUA